CCUUUCCAAGGGUCGCCACCUUGACGUGGUGGAAAGGCUUGUGUGUUCCAGUGAUCCCAAGAGCAUUUUACUCUAGUUGGCUAUGCGUUUGGGGGAGGUUCCUGACUAAGAGCGAC
RNAcentral lists this non-coding RNA (116 nucleotides) under unclassified sequences. The record is from RNAcentral.